Molecule: ribosomal RNA, 440 nt
Filed under: uncultured bacterium
Lineage: Bacteria
Description: partial 16S ribosomal RNA
Rfam family: Bacterial small subunit ribosomal RNA
Source: RNAcentral
CCUACGGGUGGCAGCAGUGGGGAAUAUUGCACAAUGGGGGAAACCCUGAUGCAGCGACGCCGCGUGAGUGAAGAAGUAAUUCGUUACGUAAAGCUCUAUCAGCAGGGAAGAAAAUGACGGUACCUGAGUAUGAAGCCCCGGCUAACUACGUGCCAGCAGCCGCGGUAAUACGUAGGGGGCAAGCGUUAUCCGGAUUUACUGGGUGUAAAGGGUGCGUAGACGGUUAGCCAAGUCUGGAGUGAAAUGCCGCAGCUUAACUGCGGAACUGCUUUGGAAACUGGCGAACUAGAGUGCGGGAGGGGUAAGCGGAAUUCCUAGGGGAGCGGGGAAAGGCGUAGAUAUUAGGAGGAACACCGGUGGCGAAGGCGGCUUACUGGACCGUAACUGACGUUGAGGCUCGAAAGCGUGGGGAGCAAACAGGAUUAGAUACCCGAGUAGUC